AUGGGAAGUAGCCCCUCAAUACCAGCAACUUUGGUACUUCAUCUUGGGACUAUGGAAAAAAAAAUAUUUAGAAACACAGGUUUAUUUGGAUUGUUGUGGACUGGUUCGAUUAUGGUGCAGGAUGGGUUAUGCAUAAACAGCUUAAGGGCUAGAAUACAGGUUUGGAGCAAGCUAGAACUGGUCCAUUUGGUGGUUAUUUCAAGGAUUGGACAUGGUUUUGAACACGAUGUUGAAUAUGGAUUAGAGAACAUGGAUCUUAGAGCUUGA
Molecule: non-coding RNA, 267 nt
Organism: Vicia faba (fava bean)
Lineage: Eukaryota; Viridiplantae; Streptophyta; Magnoliopsida; Fabales; Fabaceae
Source: the annotation of a GenBank genome assembly